AAGUGAUGCAACACCAAUAGAAAUAUUGAAUAGAGAAUGAGAAAACCAAUUAACAGGAAGAAGAAAUUAGGGAAAGGGAUGACAGAAGGGGGAAGCAGUAAGAAGGAAAAGAAUAAUGGAAAGGAGAGGAGAAAUUCGCCACAAGCCACCAAUAAUUUUAUUCUAUCAUCAACUAAUAAAAUUACAUGACAAAUUAAGUUUAAAUAGUCAAAACAAAACCCUACCUAGAAUGGGUUUGGACCAAUACAAGUCCAAUUACAUAAAUAAAAAUCUCAAAACAUAAAUAAAGUCCAACUAAAAAUAAAUAUAAAGUAGAUGUCCUCGUCAACUCUCCCGGGGUGGGAAAAAAACUCGAUCCUGUCAAGUAGAUAGAUCACAAAAGCUGCAGUUAAGCUAAUAUUCCAAAUGCUUCAAGUCAUGUCACGGUGGACGAUCUUUCUGAUGAGCCAAGUAUCGAAACUCCAUGAUUGACAGUAAUGAAAACUGUAACUGAUUCCCAAGAAUAUGAUCUGACAAAGGGGGACGGUCUUUCCUGCUGACCAAAUAUUGAUAUUGAACUCUAAAUAACCAAUACUCAUGCACCUCAUUUCCAAAAUUUUCACAUGAUUGUACAUAAUGAAGAGUACAAGAAGCACGCCGAUCUACCCAACAAACAAGGGAGUACCAAUUCUCUCCAUCAAAUGUUAACACAACAUGUUUAUCUAAAAUAGCAUCAAUUUUAUCUUCGUGUGCUAUGAUGAGUGUUAUUGGAGUAGAAAUGGUAGCCACAUGUGAAAGUAGAAAAGGAUCUUCUAAACAAUUAAAACGACCUUUGUAAGUAACUAAGUCCUCAACAGCUAAAAUAGAGUGGUGGCCAAAAUGUGAUAAAAGAUCAAUGACACAUAUAUUUAUACCAACAUGCUUUAAAACUUUAUAAGGGCCAGCACUACGGGCUUGUAGUAUAACAUAAUCCCCAAUAUUAAAUUCAAAAUAUUGUUUAUGCUAAUUAGCUCGAAGUUUAUAUAAUGCAUUAUUUGCAUCAAGUUGUUUAUUAAUCUCAGUAUGCAAGUCAUGAAGAUGCUAUACAAAUGCUCCAGUUGACAACGACACACUAACAUGUGGGGACACGGGAAUAAGAUGUGACGGUCACCUAGACUUAUAACUAUGAACAACUUCAAAUUGAUUUAGACCUAGAGACCGAUUUACAGAAUUAUUAUAUGCAAUUUGAAUAGUUGGGAGGAUCAAUGCCCAAUUCCCAAGAUUUUUUUGGACUAGAGACUUGAUAAAAUUACUAGGACUUUCGUUAACGACUUCAUUUUGACCAUCAGUCUGAGGUUGGUCUGCAGUGAAGAAUUUCGAUUUAGUGUUAAAAAUGGGCGACUGAGUUUUCCACAAGUGACUAGUGAAAUCGUGGGAUAUAAUGCCUAGAGUCUGAGAAAGAGUCUGGAUGCCAUCUAAGGAGGUGUCCUCACCAUCAUCAUCAAAAUCUUCAAGUUUAGAUUCAUAUACUAGAUCUUCUAACGACUCUUCUAUUACAUUCAUUCGUUCUUCUAUAACUAAGGUUCAAUUAGGACAUUUGGAAGAGAUGUGGCUAAAGUUCUUACAGCUGAUGCCUAGCAAGUGCUAAGAAAUUCUUGGAGUUUUAAAAAUUUUACCUUUAUUUUCCAAGAUUGGAGGAACAUUAGACGGGGGAAGUCCUAGAAGGAACUUAAUAGGAGGAAGUGGAGCCAAUGAAACAAAAGAAUGGUUGUCAAUACACCUUCUAUAUGAAGAAGGGGGCCUUGGACUAUCACGACAUUUACACUUAUUUUUUCAAAUGGGAGAAACACUGGAUGGAGAAGGUUCUAUGACAGACUCAUGUUGAGGUGGUACUAAUGAGAUGGGUGAACGAUGAUGACUACGCUUUUCAUAUGGAGCACUAAUAAGUAACUCGUAAUCUCAAGCUAAAGAGUAAGCAUGAUCAAGAAUAGUGACACCUCAAAAGAAAAGCUCAUGCCUAAAUUCAUUUCUUAGACCUUGUAUAAACAUAUUCAAAGUCGGGGCCUCAUCCUCAACAACAUGACAAUAUUUUUGGUCACCUUGUUGACGACGACAUCGUCUAUUGUGAGACACUUCAGAAUUAUUAACAUCAAUCGAACGAGGGAUUUGCUUAAAGUUGUUCAGCCUAGCAGAGAGGGCUUACUCUGUUCAAGAAUAGCAAUCAUCUGGGUUUGGAUAGCUGCUAUUUGUCGAGUGAGUUCACCAAAUUGUGAAGGGUCCAUGUUUAGGUACUAAAUGACAAGACGACUAGUCGACCACCAGCCAUGCACUGUAUUAACAGCUAAAUGACGUGUAAUAGUGAGAUCAAUGAACAAUAAAUGCAAGCAAUGAAAAAUAACAUUUUGAGCAUUUUUAUUUUUUUAAAUCUCUUUUUAUUUUUUAUUAUUUUUUUUAUGGGGAUUAAGCAAAUUCAAAUGUUGCAAGCUAAUACUAUUGAUACAUGUAAAAUAGCAAAGCAAGGGGCCAAACACUAGUCAAAUUAUCCAAUCAAGUUGAUAAGUGGGGAACAAUGGAAAGUCAACUCGUUCAAUUAUUUUGACCAAAUGGGAUAUUAGGCUAAUGAAAUCAAAGUAACAACACCACAAAGAUUUAAAUGAUGCAAUUUUAAAAUGAAGCAAUAGUAUAAACCAACAAUAAAUAGAGAUCAAGGACUCCCUGUUGUCGGGUUGUGGAGGCGGUGCCCAAGAAAGCUUGAUGUUGUUGGUGAUGUAUUCACAGGAUCUCAGUCCAACCGAUGGUGGUGCAAUCUAUAUUCCUAUUCUAAUUCACAUAUAGGAGGCUUCAGUAAAUAGUUCGGUCACUGGCUUUGCGACUCGUCCUGUUUCCAAAAUAUCAGUCUCUGUGGUCGAUUGCAAUUUCAAUACACAGCCAAUACAAUAUAUUUGGGGACAUACUGCAAAGUUGGUCUAUGUGCAAUCUAUAUUCCCGUUCUAAUUCACAUAUAGGAGGCUUCAGUAAACAGUUCGGUCAUUGGCUUUGCGACUCGUCCUGUUUCCAAAAUAUCAGUCUCUGUGGUCGAUUGCAAUUUCAAUACACAGCCAAUACAGUAUAUUUGGGGACAUACUGCAAAGUUGGUCUAUGUGCCUGCAGGUUGAUGUAUUGAAGUAUGUGGGUUGCACGUUUUGUGAAAUAUGUAAUGGAGUGGUGCCGAUUGUGUGAGAUGCCGACAAAUUGAGGGUUUCCGGUGGUAAAUCACGGCAGGUAUUGAGCAGUGGUGGCGACGCGACUUGCAAGUCGGGCGACGGUGACAGCGGGUUCUGAUGUGAUGGUGGAGGUGACUGGCAUGGCAGUGGGAUGAUCGACGGGGAAGAUGGAGCAGUCGCGGGGAGAGAUUGUGUUUACCGGCUGUCGUACAGGUGGCGACGGUGAUAGGUAUAGUAGAGGAGUCAGCAAAGAUAAAGACGAGUAGCUUGGGCUGCAAUGGAUAGGUUAGUACUUGGGUGUCGGGGAUUUGAGGGUUGCCGACGCUGGCGGUGGGGCGAUGGUGUCGCCGGCGGUAGUCGUGGAUAGAUGGGUCGCCUACGUAGAGGACCAUAUUCUGGAAGCCCUGUGGAAGUUGGGUGUGGACUUGAUCGAGGUGGGUGCUAUUUAUGUGUUAAAUGGUUUGAGAUAUAUGGGCUGAACAUGGGAUGUGUGCUGAAUGUGGAUAACGGGCUACUGGACUUGGCUAUAGGUGAUAAGAGGAUUGAAAGUAGGCUGUGUUUGUGGAAAAUGGCUUUUGGGUGUUGUCUUGAUCGAGGUGGAAGUUGGGCGUGGGCUUGAUCGAGGUGGGUGCUAUUUAUGUGUUAAAUGGUUUGAGAUAUAUGCGCUAAACAUGGGAUGUGUGCUGAAUGUGGAUAACAGGCUACUCGACUUGGCUAUAGGUGAUUAGAGGAUUGAAAGUAGGCUGUGUUUGUGGAAAAUGGCUUUUGGACGGCUAUAUAGAAGUUUGGGCUGGCAAUACUUGGUCCGUGAGGGUUUGGAAGGUAAAUAAGUUAAAGGACAACAAAAUUAGGUUAAAAUGACCAGCACACUAAUUCUGGGGUGGCAGCAGAUUAUUCUUUUUUAUUUUUUUUUAACUAAGAAAGAAAUUUGAACAAGAAAACUGCUGUUGUGAAACAAAUUCCUUUGUUUGUGCUGUUCUACAAAUUUUUGGAA
This 4155-nucleotide long non-coding RNA is filed under the name Olea europaea (common olive). RNAcentral describes it as "long non-coding RNA (OEUR_LNC002365)". Lineage: Eukaryota; Viridiplantae; Streptophyta; Magnoliopsida; Lamiales; Oleaceae. The record is from RNAcentral.